GAUGAACGCUGGCGGCGUGCCUAAUACAUGCAAGUCGAGCGAACGGACGAGAAGCUUGCUUCUCUGAUGUUAGCGGCGGACGGGUGAGUAACACGUGGAUAACCUACCUAUAAGACUGGGAUAACUUCGGGAAACCGGAGCUAAUACCGGAUAAUAUUUUGAACCGCAUGGUUCAAAAGUGAAAGAUGGUCUUGCUGUCACUUAUAGAUGGAUCCGCGCUGCAUUAGCUAGAUGGUAAGGUAACGGCUUACCAAGGCAACGAUGCAUAGCCGACCUGAGAGGGUGAUCGGCCACAAUGGAACUGAGACACGGUCCAGACUCCUACGGGAGGCAGCAGUAGGGAAUCUUCAGCAAUGGGCGAAAGCCUGACGGAGCAACGCCGCGUGAGUGAUGAAGGUCUUCGGAUCGUAAAACCCUGUUAUUAGGGAAGAACAUAUGUGUAAGUACCUGUGCACAUCUUGACGGUACCUAAUCAGAGAGCCACGGCUAACUACGUG
This 497-nucleotide ribosomal RNA is filed under the name uncultured bacterium. Its description in RNAcentral is "partial 16S ribosomal RNA". It matches the Rfam family "Bacterial small subunit ribosomal RNA", at positions 28 to 507 of the family's 1533-position model. The record is from RNAcentral.